RNAcentral lists this ribosomal RNA (1471 nucleotides) under Salmonella enterica subsp. enterica serovar Agona. Its description in RNAcentral is "partial 23S ribosomal RNA". It matches the Rfam family "Bacterial large subunit ribosomal RNA", at positions 1348 to 2802 of the family's 2925-position model. The record is from RNAcentral. Lineage: Bacteria; Pseudomonadati; Pseudomonadota; Gammaproteobacteria; Enterobacterales; Enterobacteriaceae.
AGGGUUCCUGUCCAACGUUAAUCGGGGCAGGGUGAGUCGACCCCUAAGGCGAGGCCGAAAGGCGUAGUCGAUGGGAAACGGGUUAAUAUUCCCGUACUUGGUGUUACUGCGAAGGGGGGACGGAGAAGGCUAUGUUGGCCGGGCGACGGUUGUCCCGGUUUAAGCGUGUAGGUGUGUGUUCCAGGUAAAUCCGGUUCACUUUAACACUGAGGCGUGACGACGAGGCACUACGGUGCUGAAGCAACAAAUGCCCUGCUUCCAGGAAAAGCCUCUAAGCAUCAGGUAACAUCAAAUCGUACCCCAAACCGACACAGGUGGUCAGGUAGAGAAUACCAAGGCGCUUGAGAGAACUCGGGUGAAGGAACUAGGCAAAAUGGUGCCGUAACUUCGGGAGAAGGCACGCUGACACGUAGGUGAAGUGAUUUACUCAUGGAGCUGAAGUCAGUCGAAGAUACCAGCUGGCUGCAACUGUUUAUUAAAAACACAGCACUGUGCAAACAUGAAAGUGGACGUAUACGGUGUGACGCCUGCCCGGUGCCGGAAGGUUAAUUGAUGGGGUCAGCGCAAGCGAAGCUCCUGAUCGAAGCCCCGGUAAACGGCGGCCGUAACUAUAACGGUCCUAAGGUAGCGAAAUUCCUUGUCGGGUAAGUUCCGACCUGCACGAAUGGCGUAAUGAUGGCCAGGCUGUCUCCACCCGAGACUCAGUGAAAUUGAACUCGCUGUGAAGAUGCAGUGUACCCGCGGCAAGACGGAAAGACCCCGUGAACCUUUACUAUAGCUUGACACUGAACAUUGAGCCUUGAUGUGUAGGAUAGGUGGGAGGCUUUGAAGUGUGGACGCCAGUCUGCAUGGAGCCGACCUUGAAAUACCACCCUUUAAUGUUUGAUGUUCUAACGUGGACCCGUAAUCCGGGUUGCGGACAGUGUCUGGUGGGUAGUUUGACUGGGGCGGUCUCCUCCUAAAGAGUAACGGAGGAGCACGAAGGUUGGCUAAUCCUGGUCGGACAUCAGGAGGUUAGUGCAAUGGCAUAAGCCAGCUUGACUGCGAGCGUGACGGCGCGAGCAGGUGCGAAAGCAGGUCAUAGUGAUCCGGUGGUUCUGAAUGGAAGGGCCAUCGCUCAACGGAUAAAAGGUACUCCGGGGAUAACAGGCUGAUACCGCCCAAGAGUUCAUAUCGACGGCGGUGUUUGGCACCUCGAUGUCGGCUCAUCACAUCCUGGGGCUGAAGUAGGUCCCAAGGGUAUGGCUGUUCGCCAUUUAAAGUGGUACGCGAGCUGGGUUUAGAACGUCGUGAGACAGUUCGGUCCCUAUCUGCCGUGGGCGCUGGAGAACUGAGGGGGGCUGCUCCUAGUACGAGAGGACCGGAGUGGACGCAUCACUGGUGUUCGGGUUGUCAUGCCAAUGGCACUGCCCGGUAGCUAAAUGCGGAAGAGAUAAGUGCUGAAAGCAUCUAAGCACGAAACUUGCCCCGA